Molecule: ribosomal RNA, 351 nt
Filed under: uncultured bacterium
Lineage: Bacteria
Description: bacterial SSU rRNA
Rfam family: Bacterial small subunit ribosomal RNA
Source: RNAcentral
AGAGUUUGAUCAUGGCUCAGGAUGAACGCUAGCUACAGGCUUAACACAUGCAAGUCGAGGGGAAACGACAUCGAAAGCUUGCUUUUGAUGGGCGUCGACCGGCGCACGGGUGAGUAACGCGUAUCCAACCUGCCCAUCACUUGGGGAUAACCUUGCGAAAGUAAGACUAAUACCCAAUGAUAUCUCUAGAAGGCAUCUGAAAGAGAUUAAAGAUUUAUCGGUGAUGGAUGGGGAUGCGUCUGAUUAGCUUGUUGGCGGGGUAACGGCCACCAAAGCAACGAUCAGUAGGGUUCUGAGAGGAACGGUCCCCANAUUGGAACUGAGACACGGUCCAAACUCCGUACGGGAGCA